GUGUUUGCUAAGAGGUACACCAAUAUGGAACUGAGCAACAAUCUCACAAGGGUCAUCCUGCCCAUCAUGGAGAGGGUGUUGCUUAUCAUUCCUCAAGACGAUCUUGAACCCACUGCUCCAUGGGCCUGUAGUCGGCCCUCUAGAGUUAUCUCUCCAUGAUAGGAACAUCCAGAUAGAUCAAGAUCCCGAUCAGCUCCCGGAUCCCCUCUUUUGAAUCACCUGCUUCACUUGAGUCUUUGGCCUGGGGAUUGAAGAUAAUUGCAGACUUUUGCAGGUCCAUAAGCUGGCUAGAUGUCUGACAAUAGGCAUCGAUAAUGGAUGCAAAGCACCUCACAUUCUGGACCGAGAUCCAUCCAAUGAGAAGA
RNAcentral lists this long non-coding RNA (365 nucleotides) under Elaeis guineensis (African oil palm). Its description in RNAcentral is "long non-coding RNA (EGUI_LNC014488)". Lineage: Eukaryota; Viridiplantae; Streptophyta; Magnoliopsida; Arecales; Arecaceae. The record is from RNAcentral.